This 855-nucleotide ribosomal RNA is filed under the name uncultured organism. Its description in RNAcentral is "bacterial SSU rRNA". It matches the Rfam family "Bacterial small subunit ribosomal RNA", at positions 62 to 917 of the family's 1533-position model. The record is from RNAcentral.
UCGACAUCGAAAGCUUGCUUUUGAUGGGCGUCGACCGGCGCACGGGUGAGUAACGCGUAUCCAACCUGCCCAUCACUUGGGGAUAACCUUGCGAAAGUAAGACUAAUACCCAAUGAUAUCUCUAGAAGACAUCUGAAAGGGAUUAAAGAUUUAUCGGUGAUGGAUGGGGAUGCGUCUGAUUAGCUUGUUGGCGGGGUAACGGCCCACCAAGGCUACGAUCAGUAGGGGUUCUGAGAGGAAGGUCCCCCACAUUGGAACUGAGACACGGUCCAAACUCCUACGGGAGGCAGCAGUGAGGAAUAUUGGUCAAUGGACGAGAGUCUGAACCAGCCAAGUAGCGUGCAGGAUGACGGCCCUAUGGGUUGUAAACUGCUUUUAUAAGGGAAUAAAGUUAGUCUCGUGAGACUUUUUGCAUGUACCUUAUGAAUAAGGACCGGCUAAUUCCGUGCCAGCAGCCGCGGUAAUACGGAAGGUCCGGGCGUUAUCCGGAUUUAUUGGGUUUAAAGGGAGCGUAGGCCGGAGAUUAAGCGUGUUGUGAAAUGUAGAUGCCCAACAUCUGCACUGCAGCGCGAACUGGUUUCCUUGAGUACGCACAAAGUGGGCGGAAUUCGUGGUGUAGCGGUGAAAUGCUUAGAUAUCACGAAGAACUCCGAUUGCGAAGGCAGCUCACUGGAGCGCAACUGACGCUGAAGUUCGAAAGUGCGGGUAUCGAACAGGAUUAGAUACCCUGGUAGUCCGCACGGUAAACGAUGGAUGCCCGCUGUUGGUCUGAAUAGGUCAGCGGCCAAGCGAAAGCAUUAAGCAUCCCACCUGGGGAGUACGCCGGCAACGGUGCAACUCAAAUGAAUUGACGGA